AACGAACGCUGGCGGCAGGCUUAACACAUGCAAGUCGAACGGACGUAGCAAUACGUUAGUGGCGCACGGGUGAGUAACACGUGGAUAUCUGCCUUUUGGUUCGGGAUAACCCUGGGAAACUAGGGCUAAUACCGAAUGGUUCCUACGGGAUAAAGAUUUAUCGCCAAAAGAUGAGUCCGCGUCCGGAUUAGCUAGUUGGUGAGGUAAUGGCUCACCAAGGCGACGAUCGGUAGCUGGUCUGAGAGGACCGAUCAGCCACACUGGGGACUGAGACACGG
Molecule: ribosomal RNA, 278 nt
Filed under: uncultured bacterium
Lineage: Bacteria
Description: partial 16S ribosomal RNA
Rfam family: Bacterial small subunit ribosomal RNA
Source: RNAcentral